UAGAAACAGUGCCCUAUAUUCAGCCUACC
Molecule: non-coding RNA, 29 nt
Filed under: Rattus norvegicus (Norway rat)
Lineage: Eukaryota; Metazoa; Chordata; Mammalia; Rodentia; Muridae
Source: RNAcentral